Long non-coding RNA from Panicum virgatum (switchgrass), 1056 nucleotides. RefSeq lists it as uncharacterized. The record is from RefSeq and is a predicted model, not a curated record. NCBI's taxonomy places the organism in Eukaryota, Viridiplantae, Streptophyta, Magnoliopsida, Poales, Poaceae. The transcript is spliced from 3 exons.
AUCUUCCAGCUCCAAACAAGGCUCAGCUCCAAACAUCUCCGCAUCUGUUCUGCGCCGCGGAUCUCCAUCGCCGGAGCUCGCCGCAGCCCCGCUCCCCCCUCCUUGUGCCCCCGCCCCGCGAGCCCGAGCCCCUGAUGGCGGCCGCCGUGCCCCCAUUCGCCGCUGCCCCGGGCGCAGCCAUUGCCGCCUCCACGGCCGGCCACCCUCCCCGGCACCUGCUGCUGAGCCACCCUCCCCGGCACCUGCUGCUGACUCUGCCCGGCGGAUCCCCCGCGCGCCGGAGCCCUCGCUGCCGGCCGUUGCGCGCGCGAAGCCCCUGUUGCCGGCCGCCGAGAAAUUGUAGUUGUGGCUGUGACAACGUGAGUUUUAACUUUGCUGGUCUCUGAUGUAUCUUGAUCUGCAGUCAUGCAUUUGAACCCAAUUCCAAGAUAUUGUGUUUCAAUUGAUAGUGCUGAGGAUGAGGAUAACAAUUCUAUUUGACUUGAUAACACUCUUGGGCUUGUAGAUUUAAUGACGGCACCAGUUCAGCUGGAUAUGCAAAGAUUUAAAUUCAGAACUCUGCAUACAAGAUGCAUGUCGUUGUUGAACUAUUCAGAGAACCAGAGAGCCGCACAGAUAAUUGGAAUUCACAUUCAUCUUCAGCUGGCAACCUAGACAUUCUGUAUGUGGUCUCCAAGUCAUCAAUUGCAAUUGCAGACCUGUUGCAUGUAAGCAGAUUCUUGGAUGCUACAGCAAGGAAUCGGGGACCAUGUACGAAAACAUUCCGCCAAAAUAGCAAAAAGAUGAACUGGGAUUCUGAAAUGCUGAUCUCACAAUGUGUGCAUGAACCAUUUCAAGGUUGAACCACAUCCAGCCUGGUUGCUCACCAACCAGCAGCUCCUCGAAAACAUCUAAAUUGUAGUGUAGUUAGGAAUUUGUUACAGUGUAUGUGAUGUUUAUGGAACUAUACAUAAAUUGUUCAUGCUUCUUGUAUUGUACUUCUCAAAUUGUACAGUGUAUGGAUGUGUUACAAAAAAGAUACUAUUCUGAAAUAAAUGUGGAUGUUCUUGAAUAUGA